GUGGGGAAUUUUGGACAAUGGGGGCAACCCUGAUCCAGCCAUGCCGCGUGCGGGAAGAAGGCCUUCGGGUUGUAAACCGCUUUUGUCAGGGAAGAAAUCCUUUGGGUUAAUACCUCGGAGGGAUGACGGUACCUGAAGAAUAAGCACCGGCUAACUACGUGCCAGCAGCCGCGGUAAUACGUAGGGUGCGAGCGUUAAUCGGAAUUACUGGGCGUAAAGCGUGCGCAGGCGGUGAUGUAAGACAGUUGUGAAAUCCCCGGGCUCAACCUGGGAACUGCAUCUGUGACUGCAUUGCUGGAGUGCGGCAGAGGGGGAUGGAAUUCCGCGUGUAGCAGUGAAAUGCGUAGAUAUGCGGAGGAACACCGAUGGCGAAGGCAAUCCCCUGGGCCUGCACUGACGCUCAUGCACGAAAGCGUGGGGAGCAAACAGGAUUAGAUACCCGUGUAGUCC
This 450-nucleotide ribosomal RNA is filed under the name uncultured bacterium. RNAcentral's name for it is "partial 16S ribosomal RNA". It matches the Rfam family "Bacterial small subunit ribosomal RNA", at positions 354 to 796 of the family's 1533-position model. The record is from RNAcentral.